UCCUGAAACCGUGUGCCUACAAAUAGUCAGAGCCCGUUAAUGGGUGAUGGCGUGCCUUUUGUAGAAUGAACCGGCGAGUUACGAUCCCGUGCGAGGUUAAGCUGAAGAGGCGGAGCCGCAGCGAAAGCGAGUCUGAAUAGGGCGUUUAGUACGUGGUCGUAGACCCGAAACCAGGUGAUCUACCCAUGUCCAGGGUGAAGUUCAGGUAACACUGAAUGGAGGCCCGAACCCACGCACGUUGAAAAGUGCGGGGAUGAGGUGUGGGUAGCGGAGAAAUUCCAAUCGAACCUGGAGAUAGCUGGUUCUCCCCGAAAUAGCUUUAGGGCUAGCCUUAAGUGUAAGAGUCUUGGAGGUAGAGCACUGAUUGAACUAGGGGUCCUCAUCGGAUUACCGAAUUCAGUCAAACUCCGAAUGCCAAUGACUUAUCCUUAGGAGUCAGACUGCGAGUGAUAAGAUCCGUAGUCAAGAGGGAAACAGCCCAGAUCGCCAGCUAAGGUCCCAAAGUGUGUAUUAAGUGGAAAAGGAUGUGGAGUUGCUUAGACAACUAGGAUGUUGGCUUAGAAGCAGCCACCAUUUAAAGAGUGCGUAAUAGCUCACUAGUCGAGUGACUCUGCGCCGAAAAUGUACCGGGGCUAAAUACACCACCGAAGCUGCGAAUUGAUACCAAUGGUAUCAGUGGUAGGGGAGCGUUCUAAGUGCAGUGAAGUCAGACCGGAAGGACUGGUGGAGCGCUUAGAAGUGAGAAUGCCGGUAUGAGUAGCGAAAGACGGGUGAGAAUCCCGUCCACCGAAUGCCUAAGGUUUCCUGAGGAAGGCUCGUCCGCUCAGGGUUAGUCAGGACCUAAGCCGAGGCCGACAGGCGUAGGCGAUGGACAACAGGUUGAUAUUCCUGUACCACCUCUUUAUCGUUUGAGCAAUGGAGGGACGCAGAAGGAUAGAAGAAGCGUGCGAUUGGUUGUGCACGUCCAAGCAGUUAGGCUGAUAAGUAGGCAAAUCCGCUUAUCGUGAAGGCUGAGCUGUGAUGGGGAAGCUCCUUAUGGAGCGAAGUCUUUGAUUCCCCGCUGCCAAGAAAAGCUUCUAGCGAGAUAAAAGGUGCCUGUACCGCAAACCGACACAGGUAGGCGAGGAGAGAAUCCUAAGGUGUGCGAGAGAACUCUGGUUAAGGAACUCGGCAAAAUGACCCCGUAACUUCGGGAGAAGGGGUGCUUUCUUAACGGAAAGCCGCAGUGAAUAGGCCCAAGCGACUGUUUAGCAAAAACACAGCUCUCUGCGAAGCCGUAAGGCGAAGUAUAGGGGGUGACACCUGCCCGGUGCUGGAAGGUUAAGGAGAGGGGUUAGCGUAAGCGAAGCUCUGAACUGAAGCCCCAGUAAACGGCGGCCGUAACUAUAACGGUCCUAAGGUAGCGAAAUUCCUUGUCGGGUAAGUUCCGACCCGCACGAAAGGUGUAACGAUUUGGGCACUGUCUCAACCAGAGACUCGGUGAAAUUAUAGUACCUGUGAAGAUGCAGGUUACCCGCGACAGGACGGAAAGACCCCGUGGAGCUUUACUGUAGCCUGAUAUUGAAUUUUGGUACAGUUUGUACAGGAUAGGCGGGAGCCAUUGAAACCGGAGCGCUAGCUUCGGUGGAGGCGCUGGUGGGAUACCGCCCUGACUGUAUUGAAAUUCUAACCUACGGGUCUUAUCGACCCGGGAGACAGUGUCAGGUGGGCAGUUUGACUGGGGCGGUCGCCUCCUAAAGUGUAACGGAGGCGCCCAAAGGUUCCCUCAGAAUGGUUGGAAAUCAUUCGUAGAGUGCAAAGGCAUAAGGGAGCUUGACUGCGAGACCUACAAGUCGAGCAGGGACGAAAGUCGGGCUUAGUGAUCCGGUGGUUCCGCAUGGAAGGGCCAUCGCUCAACGGAUAAAAGCUACCCCGGGGAUAACAGGCUUAUCUCCCCCAAGAGUCCACAUCGACGGGGAGGUUUGGCACCUCGAUGUCGGCUCAUCGCAUCCUGGGGCUGUAGUCGGUCCCAAGGGUUGGGCUGUUCGCCCAUUAAAGCGGUACGCGAGCUGGGUUCAGAACGUCGUGAGACAGUUCGGUCCCUAUCCGUCGUGGGCGUAGGAAAUUUGAGAGGAGCUGUCCUUAGUACGAGAGGACCGGGAUGGACGCACCGCUGGUGUACCAGUUGUUCUGCCAAGGGCAUAGCUGGGUAGCUAUGUGCGGAAGGGAUAAGUGCUGAAAGCAUCUAAGCAUGAAGCCCCCCUCAAGAUGAGAUUUCCCAUAGCGUAAGCUAGUAAGAUCCCUGAAAGAUGAUCAGGUUGAUAGGUUCGAGGUGGAAGCAUGGUGACAUGUGGAGCUGACGAAUACUAAUAGAUCGAGGACUUAACCAU
Molecule: ribosomal RNA, 2369 nt
Filed under: Bacillus thuringiensis serovar berliner
Lineage: Bacteria; Bacillati; Bacillota; Bacilli; Caryophanales; Bacillaceae
Description: bacterial LSU rRNA
Rfam family: Bacterial large subunit ribosomal RNA
Source: RNAcentral